This 502-nucleotide long non-coding RNA is filed under the name Hordeum vulgare. RNAcentral describes it as "long non-coding RNA (HVUL_LNC007634)". The record is from RNAcentral. Lineage: Eukaryota; Viridiplantae; Streptophyta; Magnoliopsida; Poales; Poaceae.
UCCUUGUACGACUGCUAAUGAACCUUCUCGCCACAUGUGGGCAUGAAUGAAUGAUUGUGCGAGACUCUGUGCUUAGUAAUGUGCCACCCCUUGUCUGAUGUGUGGAAAGUCGAACCAAUGUUGGGUAUUCACAGCGGCAAGACAUAAUGUUCUCCUAUGUAGGCCUCUCCUGUGCGGAUAUAAAUUUCCAUUAUCAGCACCGGUGAACCUGAACUUGAUUCUAUACCAACCCAGUUAAGAUACAGAGCAACCACAAACUUUUUUUGCAAGCAUUUCAUCUUCUCUGUGUUUAGCUGACUUUUUUCAUAGUGAAUUAUAAAACCAUGCUCCCAGAAAUACAAGUUAUAUAAAUCAUAUGGCUCUCCUAAUGAAUCAAAUGGAUGAAAAGCUCAAGAACAUGGUCACCCAACUUGUCUGUGUACCCUGAUUGGCUCUUCUCAAGUGCACAACCCUCUCCGGACAUGGGGUCCUAUCCGGUGGAUGACUCUCCCUACUCCAGUNN